Molecule: RNA transcript, 2902 nt
Organism: Amaranthus tricolor (Joseph's coat)
Lineage: Eukaryota; Viridiplantae; Streptophyta; Magnoliopsida; Caryophyllales; Amaranthaceae
Gene name: probable folate-biopterin transporter 3
Exons: 6
Source: RefSeq, a predicted model, not a curated record
UAAAAUCCAUUUAUGAAAAGAAGAAUGGGUUUAGGUGGUAUGCCGUGUGUGGUGACUUCUACCAAACUUCGAACAUAAUUUUUCAUCUUCAUGCUCUUGCUCAUUCGGCCAAUCCAUUCUCAACACCAUUGAAACUGAAUUUUACCCAAUCAAAUCACACUUUUAAUGCACAUAAUUCUAAUUCCCCUCACAUUCGGUAUCCAAUUUCAGUUCCAGUAAACUGAAGAUCAAAUCUAAUCAUGGAUAAUGAAGCUUCUUCCCUAAUUGAAGAGCAAACCCCCAAAAUCAAGAGUGACAAACCAGGUAUAUUAGGUCUAAUCAUGUCAGGAGUUAAUUGGUUACGAAUGCUAAGUAAUGAAUUGCAUUGGAGUUUUGUGAUGGGUGUGAUUUCAGUGUAUGGUAUAAGUCAAGGGUUAAGUAUGGGUUUAAGCCGUGUAACUAUGCAGUAUUAUAUGAAGGAUGAACAGAAGAUACAACCCUCUGAAGCUCAAAUUUCAAUGGGGGUUGUUAGAUUUCCAUGGGUUGUUAAGCCUUUGUGGGGUCUUCUCACUGAUGUUCUUCCUCUUUUUGGAUACAGAAGAAGACCUUACUUCAUUUUUGCUGGGCUUCUUGGGGCAAUAUCGAUGCUUAUCCUGUCCAUUGUUAAUGGACUGCAUCUUGUACCUGCUGUUCUGGCUCUCAUGGCAGGAAGUGCUGGGGUGGCUGUAGCAGAUGUGACUAUAGAUGCUUGUAUAACUGAAAAUAGUAGCAGUCAUCCUGCACUUGCUAGUGACAUGCAAAGUUUGUGUGGAUUAAGUUCUUCAAUAGGAGCUCUAGCAGGAUUCAUCAUCAGUGGGUUUCUUGUUCAUCUAGUUGGGUCCAAGGGUGUGUUUGGCCUGUUGACAAUUCCUCCUGCACUGGUAGUUUUGGUUGGUUUGACAAUUAAAGAGUCUGCUGUGCGGAACUUCUCUUAUAGUAGGGUAAAUGAGAAGUUUUUCGAUGCGACUAGAGCUAUGUUGACCACCCUCAAGUCCCAGCAUGUCUGGAAGCCAUGUCUUUACAUGUUUUUAUCGCUUUCUCUUGGCAUAAACAUCCAUGAAGGGCUUUUCUAUUGGUAUACAGAUGGAAAGGGAGGUCCAUUGUUCUCGAAGGAGAUUGUGGGAUCCAUAUAUACGAUCGGAGCUCUGGGGUCGCUCUGUGGGGUUAUUCUCUAUCAGAACAAGUUGAAAAACCGCCCUUACCAGGAUUUACUUUUCUGGACACAGUUAUUGCACUGUGCAUCAGGAAUGCUCGAUUUGGUUUUGGUGCUUCGUCUUAAUCUGAAAUUCUACGUACCCGACUACCUCUUUGUCGUAUUCGAUGAAGGUGUUUCUCAUAUGAUAGCAAGAAUUAAAUGGAUGCCUUUGCUCGUACUUAGUUCUAAGCUUUGCCCCACGGGGAUAGAGGGAACGUUCUUCGCCUUAUUAAUGUCCAUCGACCAAGUCGGAAUGCUUACCUCAACUUGGGCAGGAGGUUUUGUUUUACACAUUUUAAAUGUAACACGAUCAGAAUUCGAUAACUUGUGGCUUGCAGUUCUAAUCCGUAACCUUUUGAGAUUAACCCCAAUACUUUUGCUGUUCCUGGUGCCGAGGAUUGAUCCCAACUUGCCAGUGCUCCCUUCCGAAAUAUCAAAGACAAAAAGGGAUCAUGAAACGCUGCCUAAUGAGAAUAUCGAGAUGGCCAAUCUUCUUGAUUCAAGCUGAUCAUAUAGUCGAUUCAGUCACUGCUGCUCAGAAUUAACCCCCGAUAGAGUUAGAGCAUCUAAUAUCAGAUUGUUCAGAAAGUGAAAUCAAUCCAGAUUUCGCGUAUACACUCGUUGAGUCGUCAUUGAUUGAAAGUUUCAAGUUAUACAGUACCAGCAUACAGGUUAUACAAGUGUUCUGUCAAGAUUAUAAAGGCUCUGCAGUGUUAAUCCGUCAGCCGAAUUCUUAACAAAAGCUGAAUGCGCCAGAAUAUGUGGACUCAGGAACUCCAGACCGCUGGCAAAAAACACCCCAUCUUGUGGUCCCUUCUAUACUCAAUCUACAUAAGUGACUAAUCCCUCUCUCUCAAAGUUUUAGUUAUGCUGUACUUUUUACUUUUGUCGAUGCACAACUUUAAUAAAUAUCUUUAAUUAUACAUAAUUAAAAAUUAUAAAAGUUGAUAUUAAUAAAGUACAUAUUAUGAUACAACAUUAGAUUUCACGUAACUAUGUUUUAUUUUAUAGAUUAAGAAUAAAUAAAAGUUAAAAGCAGAUUGUUGAAAAGUACCAAAACCGUAGCUAGACAUGGGGAGUAGAUGUUAUCAUUCUAGGCUCCAUCAUUGCUUUACCAAUAAAAAUACUUCUAGAUCAUUUGGUGAGCAAGUAUUGUGAUUUGUGAGAACAACUUUAUUGUCCAACUCUAUCUCCACUUGGACUCUUUAUUUUGUUUUGUUAUUUGUGCCAAAUUCUCAACAUUCGUAUAUGUGUAUGUAUAUAAUAGUUGGCCCUUUUUUAAAUUUAAUUAUGAAUUUUUUUAAAAUAAAUUAUCUAAUUUUAACAUUUGAAUAUGUAUUUGUGUCGGAUAUGAGUUUUUAAAUCCAGGUUACGGUAGACCAAAACUUGCACCGACAUUUCUUUUACUGCAUUGAUGUAUUCUUCAAAUUUUUAGAUCUUUUCCUAAUACUUACUCAAAAAUAAUCAUGUCCUUAUCUAGUUACCCCCACCCGUACGGCCCCACCCCUCUUUUUUUUUUCCUUUCGUAAGGAAUUUUGAUCAUUUCUAUUUUGAAACUGUUGAUGUUAUUGGCAUUCAUUCUCAAAGGUAAAAUUAUUGAAUUUCUAAAUUCUACUUUAUCUGUCACUUUAAAGUUGCAACAAGUACAAAGAUUAAAAAAUUUGAAACGACAUAUAAAUUGUCGUGAAG